Molecule: ribosomal RNA, 355 nt
Filed under: Columbicola emersoni
Lineage: Eukaryota; Metazoa; Arthropoda; Insecta; Psocodea; Philopteridae
Description: partial 12S ribosomal RNA
Source: RNAcentral
CCCUAUUAUUAAUGGAUAAAAACAAAUUAGAGAGUAGGAAAACUGAAAACUAUCUAGAAUGGCGGUUUUUUUUAUUCUCAGAUAAAUGUGUUUUGAAAACGAAAGUGCACGAACAUCUUUCUUACCCUUGAAAGAUCCAUCUUGUACACCGCCGUCUGAAGGAUCAGAUUAGCUAUCUAAUCCUAUUUCUAUUUCUUAGAAAUAAGUCAGGUAAGGUGCAGAUAAUGGAUAAGAAAAAAUGCAUUUCACUAAAAUCAGCAAGGAAAAAUUUGAAACAAUAUAUCUAAGAAGAAUUUGAAAGUAAGAUUUUUUCAUCAAAAUAAUCUGAAAUUAUACCAAAAAAAUGUACACAUCG